GUGAUGAGGAACAGUUAAUUUAUUAUGGUUAGAACAAAAAUGAUUUCUAUGAUUAUAAAGUAACUAGGGCGGACUGAUGUU
Molecule: small nucleolar RNA, 81 nt
Filed under: Lucilia cuprina (Australian sheep blowfly)
Lineage: Eukaryota; Metazoa; Arthropoda; Insecta; Diptera; Calliphoridae
Description: small nucleolar RNA U43
Rfam family: Small nucleolar RNA U43
Source: Rfam by way of RNAcentral